Long non-coding RNA from Oryzias melastigma (Indian medaka), 1087 nucleotides. RefSeq lists it as uncharacterized. NCBI's taxonomy places the organism in Eukaryota, Metazoa, Chordata, Actinopteri, Beloniformes, Adrianichthyidae. The record is from RefSeq and is a predicted model, not a curated record. The transcript is spliced from 3 exons.
AUAGCUAAACUAAAAACACCUGAACUUACAUUUGUUGAUUCUGCCGAUUUUCUGUUUUCUUUGGAACAUUGUGUUAAAAAAGGGCAAUAUACCUGUUAUCCCAUCUUCUGUAUAAUUACUAGUUACAAUACUUCAGUUGUACUCUCUAAAAUCAACAUGUUUUUCCUGACAUGACCAAUAAACAUUUCUCAGAUGACAGAAAUGAUUCAUAAGUCAAAAAACCAUAUGCAUAAUAAAUAAAAAAAACAAACAAAUUUUCUUGGAAACCAGCAGUGUUAAAGAUCAAUUUUCUCGUCUCAUUCAGUGUUUUUUGUGUGCGUUUUAUUUUAUACAGCAUACCAGGAGGAACCAGUUUAUUCUGAAAUUAAAAAAGGGAAACAAAAGAGAAAAAAAGAGAAUGCACCAACAAAGAAGAACCCAGAAGCUGAUUUUGACCCAAUUAGCAAAGAGACUACACAAACUGCUGUAGUAACAGCAGAAGUCCAAGGAUCUGGCAGCAGGUUUCGUCUCCUGUUGGGGUGUUUGGGGAUCAUUUGUUUCCUCCUGUGUGUGGCCAUCAUCGUCAUCAUCAUUUACUGUAAGUUUGAAUAAAUUAGUAUUAUUUCAAUUUAAAACACUUUUUACAUAUAAUUAUUUUGAAAUAAAAUUAUUGAUUGUGUAUUAGUGGCUUAAACCUUAGUAACAAUUGUCCUUAUGGCUAGAAAUAUGCGAAAAAAGGGCAAACUUGUGUGGGACACGCAGGUGGUCCCCACGUAUAAGUAAGGUUGUGGACCACUUGGUGGGUCAAUUGAGUGAAAAUGGUCAUGUAUAUUCUAGGCUGCACACCCGCACAAUUGUGCUCUGCUCCCAUGCUCUUUGUGCUAAGCAUUGUUCUAUUUUUACUUUUUAGAAAUUUAGGUGAUGUAAAAUUGAAUCAAAUCUCUUAGUGAAACGUAUUAAAGAGGGGUUUGAUUUUCAAAGAAUAGUUUUGUGAAUUUAAAAUGGUUUCAACUAUAAACAAAACAUUGAAAACUAAACCAAAAAGAACUUUCUCCAAAAGAUAGUUGGUGUUUUUCUGAUUGUGAAUUAAAAGAAACAAAAAAAAAAA